AUGGGGAUGGUUGAGCGGCAGAAUCCGCCGGUGCCCGUCCAAAACCCCGUUAAUAAUGGGCGCCAUGAUUGCCCAGAUCGGUCGACCGAUCCGUCGUCGCUGCUGCUGCUGCUUGUGCUGCUCGUGCGCCUUGCUUUCGCAGGCCAACAGUGGCUCUCAGGCUCCCCAUGCCGUAUCCGGCUCGCACUGUGCCGCUGCCGUCGUACUCUACUCUACUAUACUCGCUGCCUGGCGAGUGGCGAGACAGCGUCUGGGCCGGGGGAUCCCGUCGCCAUGCGGCCAGCGCUCGUUUGGGCCCGCCGCGGCGAGGCUGGCGCUCGUUCGUUCCUUCCGGGAAGCCGGCCAUCGCGGAACAGCGGGAGAUGGACGCCCGGUCGCCGGCUCCACGGUGACACCCCAUCGCUGAUCCGCAGCAACAGUGACGUCGCCGGCGGGACGACGAUGGGCACGAGGGCGGGCGCCCACCGCACGGAUGUUCGUCCACACGCGCGAUGCUCUGUCACGGUCCGACGGACGGACGGAGGGAGGGACCCCGCCACCCCGACAUCUCCAUCCCAUCCCGUGCGCCUGUAG
RNAcentral lists this ribosomal RNA (573 nucleotides) under Triticum aestivum (bread wheat). RNAcentral describes it as "partial small subunit ribosomal RNA". Lineage: Eukaryota; Viridiplantae; Streptophyta; Magnoliopsida; Poales; Poaceae. The record is from RNAcentral.